GGCGGACGGGUGAGUAACACGUGGAUAACCUGCCCCAAAGUCUGGGAUAACGCGCCGAAAGGUGCGCUAAUACCGGGUACCUUUAUGCCUCACAAGAGGUAUAAAGAAAGGAGGCCUCUGCUUGCAAGCUUCUGCUUUGGGAUGGAUCCGCGGCCUAUCAGGUAGUUGGUAGGGUAAUGGCCUACCAAGCCUACGACGGGUAGCUGGUCUGAGAGGACGAUCAGCCACAUUGGGACUGAGACACGGCCCAGACUCCUACGGGAGGCAGCAGUGGGGAAUAUUGGGCAAUGGGAGAAAUCCUGACCCAGCAACGCCGCGUGGAGGACUAAGGCCUUCGGGUUGUAAACUCCUGUCAGCAGGGAAAAAGGUUAUAAGAGCUAAUACCUUUUAUAGCUUGAUGGUACCUGCAGAGGAAGCACCGGCUAACUACGUGCCAGCAGCCGCGGUAAU
This 450-nucleotide ribosomal RNA is filed under the name uncultured bacterium. RNAcentral's name for it is "bacterial SSU rRNA". It matches the Rfam family "Bacterial small subunit ribosomal RNA", at positions 97 to 524 of the family's 1533-position model. The record is from RNAcentral.